Molecule: ribosomal RNA, 497 nt
Filed under: uncultured bacterium
Lineage: Bacteria
Description: partial 16S ribosomal RNA
Rfam family: Bacterial small subunit ribosomal RNA
Source: RNAcentral
GAUGAACGCUGGCGGCGUGCCUAAUACAUGCAAGUCGAGCGAACAGACGAUGAUCUUGCUCCUCUCUCGUUAGCGGCGCACGUGUGUGUAACACGUGUAUAACCUACCUAUAUUUCUGGUAUAACUUCGGGAAUCCGGCGCUAAUACCGUAUAAUAUAUUGCACCGCAUGGUUCAUUAGUGAAAUUCGGUUUUGCUGUCUCUUAUCGAUGCUUCCGCGCCGCAUUAUCGAGUUGGUAAGGUAACGGCUUACCAAGGGAACGAUGCGUAGGCGACGUGAGAGGGUGAGCGGCGACACUGGAAGGGAGACACGGACCAGACUACUACGGGAGGGAGCAGUAGGGAAGAUGACGCAAUGGGCGAAAGCAUGACGGAGCAACGCCGCGUGAGAGAUGAAGGUCUUCGGAUCGUAAAACUCUGUUAUUAGGGAAGAACAAAUGUGUAAGUAAAUAUGCACGUAGUGACGGUACCUAAUAAGAAAGCAACGGCUAACUACGUG